UCCACGAUCAGGGGCCCCAGGCAUGUGGAAUGUGGAUCAAAAGCAGAUGUAGAAUCCCUGCAAUGACUAUGUUUUAUUUUCAACUGAAAAUGCCAAGCAAUUUCCGUUGCAAAAGCAUCCCAUCCAGUUUGUCAAAGAAGCGCUGCACCAAAAAAUCCUCAUAACUCUUGUCACUUCCGUUUGAGUCAAAGCAGUUCCUUGCUGCUUCUAGCUACAGCUAAUACCUUCCACUGCAAAAGAGUAUUCUUAUCUGAAGACUGUACCCAAGGAACAAGAAGAAUGGCUGAUGUACUUAUAGCUUCCACAAUAGAGGUAGCAUUGAAGAAGACACUUUCCCUUGCCAAUGAAAGGAUUGGCAAGUUAUUCCAAUUCAAGGAGGAUUUGGAGACCCUCAAAGGAUCUGUUGCUAUGAUCCAAGCUGUCUUGGCUGAUGCAGAGGAAAAGCAAACGCAUGACCAGGCCGUGCGACUGUGGCUCCAGAGGCUAGAAGCCGUGGCGUUUGAUGCCGAGAAUUUGUUGGACGAGCUGAAUUAUGAAGCUCUUCGUCGCCAUCUCGUGGGCAAGGUGCGCUCCUUCAUCCUGUCCUCUGACAUUAAUAUUGUUUUCCGACGGAGAAUGGCCUCUAAGAUCAGGGACAUCAACAAAAAGUUGAAUAAGAUCAAUAAAGAAGCCAAUGAUUUUGGACUGAUCAGAUUCCAAAGAGCAAGUUUCCCCCCUUCUACUACUGCUAAAGUCACACUAAAUAGAGAGACGGAUUCUAUUGCUGGCCAUUAUAUUGUAGGAAGAGCUAAGGAUGAAACAAGGCUGGUGGAGACCUUGCUAAGCUUGUCAGAAAAAGCCGUUUCUGUAAUUCCCAUCCUUGGGAUGGGCGGAUUGGGAAAGACUACUUUAGCUCAAUCUGUAUACAAAAAUAGUCACGUUCAUAGCCAUUUUGAGAAAAAAAUUUGGGUUUGUGUGUCCGACAACUUUGACGUGACCAGGCUUUUGAAAAUGAUUUUAGAAUCACUCACGAGAAGAAAUGUUGAAAUGACCAGUAGGGAUGUCAUCGUCCAGGAAAUUCGAGAACAACUUGUGGGAAAAUUUUUUUUUCUUGUUCUUGAUGAUGUCUGGACCGAAAAUCUUACCUUGUGGGAUGAUUUUUUUGGUUCAUUACUGGGACUAAAUGCAACUAAUGGAAAUUGGUGUGUUGUGACUACUCGUAAACAACAAACUGCAUCCAUUGUGGCCACACAUGAUCCUUAUGUGCUAGGAAAGCUAUCUGAUGAUGAUUGUUGGUCUAUCCUAACAAAGAAAGCCAUUGCAGGUGGAGAAAUUCCCAAACAAUUGCAUGUCAUGAAAAAGGAAAUUGUAAAAAAAUGUGGUGGUCUACCACUGGCUGCAAGUGUAAUGGGAGGUUUAUUGCGCAUGAAGAGAAAAGAGGAGUGGCAAUUGGUUUUGAAGAAUAAGCUUUCAAAUUUCAGUGGAGAUGAAGAUGGUGUCAUGGAAAUACUUAAAUUGAGUUUUGAUUGUUUACCAUCUCCAUCCAUUAAGAAAUGUUUUGCAUAUUGUUCUAUAUUUCCUAAGGAUACUAUGAUGAAAGGAGAUAUGCUAAUCGAACUUUGGAUGGCAGAAGGUUUGCUCCAAGCAGAUGUCAACAACCAAAUAAUGAUGGAGGAAAUUGGAAUGAAUUGUUUGAGAAUUUUAUUACAGAGUUCGUUGUUUGAAGAAACCAAAAGUUAUCAGGAAACACAUUAUUAUAAGAUGCAUGAUCUAGUGCACGACCUCGCAGAGUCAAUGUCAAAGUCUACUAAAGUUAUUAACAAUAUUCGUUACCUUGCAGUAGAUUUAUCUGGUGGCAGAGAAGACAGAGAAAAACUUUUGGAGAGGCUAUCAACUUCGCUUCGUACAUUGUUUGUAAAGGGUGACCUAUCUGGUGAUAUGUUAAUGAAGUUGAAGAACUUGUAUGUUUUGAAUUUGUCUCAUGCAACGACUCAAGAGCUACCGAUCACUAUUGGCAAAUUGACACAUUUGCGAUAUGUUAACCUUUCGAGUUCUAGAAUUCGUAUUUUGCCGGACUCCCUUUGCAAGCUUUAUAAUUUGCAGACAUUGGCACUAGAUAGCAUGUAUGUCAAAGAUCUUCCGAAGGGGAUGUGCAAUUUGAUUAGCUUGAGACAUCUCUACUUUUACACCUUUGAUGAAAAAUUUCAAAUGCCACUAGAGAUGGGACGACUAUCUUGCCUUCAGACACUAGAGUUCUUUAAUGUGGGUCGAGAAAAGGGUCGACAAAUUGAAGAGCUUGGAUGCUUGAAAAACCUCAAAGGCAGUUUAAGUGUACGCAAUCUUCAACUAAUAAAGGAUAGGAAAGCAGCUGAGGAAGCAAAUCUAUUUGGAAAGGCAAAUCUAUUUAGGCUGGUACUUGUGUGGGCCUUGGCUUGGGAUCGAGAAGGUGACAACUACAACUACGACAAAGAUGUGUUAGAUGGCCUUAGGCCUCAUCCAAAUUUGGAGGAGUUGGUAAUUCAGCGUUUUAUGGGUGAUCAAUUUCCUCGAUGGUCAAUGGAUUUGCCAAUAACACUUCCCAAGUUAGUGCGUUUGGAGUUUUAUUAUUGCCACAGAUGCAGAGAACUCAUUCCUUUGCAAAACUUUACGUCUCUUAAAGAGCUGGUGAUUUGGUUUUGCCGUGGAUUAACGAAUCUACCCAGUGACAUGCUACAGUCUUGUAUCUCUCUCCAAAAGCUUCAGGUGGCUUAUUGCGACAAGCUUAUCUCGUUUCCGCUUGAUUUGCAACAAACGCCUUCUCUUUUGGAGUUAGAAUUAUACGCGUGUCCCAAACUGAAAACAAGUAUGACGCCCAAAGGAUUUGGUUUCCUAACCAGCUUAAAUCGUCUUGAAAUUGGUCCCUUCUCAGAUGAUGAUGACCAUGAAAAUUCUUCAAUUUACAAUGAAUUUGAUUGGUGUGGAUUGAUAUCCUUCUCCUCUUUGUCAUCCAUACUAUGUGACCUAGAAUUAUUUGGUUUGCUACACAUGGAGUCCCUACCACAUCAAAUCCAAUACUUGACCACUCUCACAUCACUUCGGCUACAUGACUUUGGAGGUAUAAAAGCUCUGCCAGAUUGGUUCAGAAACUUUGCUGCUCUUGAAUACCUAUGUUUAUUUGGUUUCAAAGAGCUUCGACAUUUACCCUCUGAGGAUGCCAUGAGAAGUCUCACCAAACUAAAAGUUCUACUGGUUUAUGGUUCUCCUCUGUUAAAAGAAAGGUGCACUCCUGAGAGCAGCGGCCUCGACUCCCAGUGGUCCAAAAUUUCUCAUAUUCAACUCCUAUUAAUAAGCGAUUAACAGUUCAUCUUCAGAUCAAAUUCAAUCAUUGAUCUUAGGCUCAAGGUUUAAGUGGAAAUCUCCAUUGGCCAUUAAUUACUCAUUGAAUUGCAAGGCCAGUAGCUUGGACAAAAAUAUUUAUGAUGGCAAUUUUUCUUUCGUAUCGGUGCCUUAUAUAGCCAACACUUGAUAUCCUUGUUGUCGGAGCUUGCACAUUGUCUAUCUGCCUUUUCAGUCACGAGGUCCAGGAAAAGUUUUCUGUCUGUGUUUUGAUUGCUCAAUGACUGUCAGCUGGCCUGUACAAUCUACUGGGAAAAAAUUUCUUGCCCCAGCUUAUCAGAUGUUUUUGAAGAGCCAUCAUUACCAGGACUUUUUGAUGAUCUUUAUUGGCAGUUUGAUGACCAUUACUAGAGAAAUAGAUUGACCAUUAAGAGGUUUUGCAAACUUUCGAGUGUUAUCGCAAGCCAUGAAGACAAUGGUCAAUCAAGGGGUUUUCGCAUCAUCGCUUUGGUGUUUUGGUUCAAAUUUCUGAUAUUGCUGAGGUAGCCGAGGAAGAUGUUCAUGCAAUGAAGUUGCACAAAACUUGGUACUUGGUGGAGUAUCUUCCAACAUGGUCAAGUUUAAGCAGGAUGUUUUGAAGCAUUUCAAAAGUUAGUCAAGUCUACUUGUUGCAACUUGCUGCUCUUAGUGAAUCCACCUAGAUAAAGGCUCUUAAGCUCUCCCUGCCUUUUGUGACUGUGAGUUGCUAUUUUUUUAUGUGAUAUUAGGACCAAAACUGAAGGGGGAACCCCGCUGAUGGCUCUUACAUACUGUGCUUACUUUUUGAAAGUCCUACGAUUCCUUGCUGAACAAGAUCCUACUUCAGUUGGAUAGUAACAUCUAGCAUGCAUUCUCUUUUGCACUGUGCCUCAGAUGGCCAAAGGCUGAGAUUCCCCCUGUGGUUAUGGUGCCUUUAAACUGUCCAAAUGAUUCAGCAAUUUGUAGUCACAAUAAUGAGGUGCCGAUUUUCUUGUAACUCAAUUAGCUAUCUCUGGCAUACUGAAGUUAGAACUAGCUGGUGUUUUGGUUGCAGUUAUAUGUGGAUUCUGUUGUGACUUAAUGGCCUUUCAUUUCCUGAGUUCCACCACAUAAAUUGCUUUGCAUGUGCCAUGAAUUGCCCAUCAUUAUUUUCAAGUUUACGAGUUGU
Coffea eugenioides is the source of this 4480-nucleotide RNA transcript. It is a transcript of the gene named putative disease resistance protein RGA1, with no coding region annotated. NCBI's taxonomy places the organism in Eukaryota, Viridiplantae, Streptophyta, Magnoliopsida, Gentianales, Rubiaceae. The transcript is spliced from 6 exons. The record is from RefSeq and is a predicted model, not a curated record.